Long non-coding RNA from Actinia tenebrosa (Australian red waratah sea anemone), 399 nucleotides. The record is from RefSeq and is a predicted model, not a curated record. Lineage: Eukaryota; Metazoa; Cnidaria; Anthozoa; Actiniaria; Actiniidae.
UAAACGACGUACCCGUUAUCAGUCACACCAUUUCUCCUAUAAAACGAUGUUCUGAUCCGUUGUUGAAGGAAUGAAACUUGGUAUAUAUCAAAACACUUAUCGACUUGAGCCUGAAAAUCAUUUCUUAGAAAAUACGUAAUAUCGACGACCUUAUGAAGUAAGAAGUAUGAAGGACAGCGCAUUAGCUACCACACCUAGUCCUAGUCAGAUGAUUAUCGCACUAAUUUAGUUUAUAUUAUUUUAAUUCUAUACAUAUUGUUAAUUAGUACAUUAUGGUAGCCUAAUCUACUAGCACUCACCGACGGAUAUAUCAUUAUCCAGUGGAUAAUUCGAUGCUGUUAUCCAAAAGAUUCAUCAUCUGAAUUACAUUUAUCCGUUUCUGCGGUCGCCACAUGUGAA